UUAGAGGAAGUAAAAGUCGUAACAAGGUCUCCGUUGGUGAACCAGCGGAGGGAUCAUUACAGAGUUGCAAAACUCCCAAACCAUUGUGAACGAUACCCGUACCGUUGCUUCGGCGGGYCGGCUCCCGGAGCCGCAGCCCCCCCUCGGGGGGCGGCCCGCCGGACGACAUCAAAACUCUUGUCUCACACAGGCCUCUUUGAGAACUUAUACAAAUGAGUCAAAACUUUCAACAACGGAUCUCUUGGUUCUGGCAUCGAUGAAGAACGCAGCGAAAUGCGAUAAGUAAUGUGAAUUGCAGAAUUCAGUGAAUCAUCGAAUCUUUGAACGCACAUUGCGCCCGCUAGCAUUCUGGCGGGCAUGCCUGUCCGAGCGUCAUUUCAACCAUCAAGCCCCCGGGCUUGCGUUGGGGCACCGCGGCCGCCGCGGUCCCUGAAAACCAGUGGCGGGCUCGCUGUCACUCCGGGCGCAGUACUAUAUCUCGCUCUGGUUGUGCGGCGGGUGCCGGCCGUUAAACACACCCCUUCAUACCAAGGUUGACCUCGGAUCAGGUAGGAAUACCCGCUGAACUUAAGCAUAUCA
Molecule: ribosomal RNA, 579 nt
Filed under: uncultured Sordariales
Lineage: Eukaryota; Fungi; Ascomycota; Sordariomycetes; Sordariales
Description: eukaryotic LSU rRNA
Rfam family: 5.8S ribosomal RNA (bases 222-375)
Source: RNAcentral